This 430-nucleotide ribosomal RNA is filed under the name uncultured Alphaproteobacteria bacterium. RNAcentral describes it as "bacterial SSU rRNA". It matches the Rfam family "Bacterial small subunit ribosomal RNA", at positions 958 to 1385 of the family's 1533-position model. Lineage: Bacteria; Pseudomonadati; Pseudomonadota; Alphaproteobacteria. The record is from RNAcentral.
AACGCGAAGAACCUUACCAGCUCUUGACAUGUCUCGUAUGGGGACCGGAGACGGUUUCCUUCAGUUCGGCUGGCGAGAACACAGGUGCUGCAUGGCUGUCGUCAGCUCGUGUCGUGAGAUGUUGGGUUAAGUCCCGCAACGAGCGCAACCCUCGCCCUUAGUUGCCAUCAUUCAGUUGGGCCCUCUAGGGGGACUGCCGGUGAUAAGCCGAGAGGAAGGUGGGGAUGACGUCAAGUCCUCAUGGCCCUUACGGGCUGGGCUACACACGUGCUACAAUGGCGGUGACAAUGGGAUGCUGAGGGGCGACCCCGAGCAAAUCUCAAAAAGCCGUCUCAGUUCGGAUUGCACUCUGCAACUCGAGUGCAUGAAGGUGGAAUCGCUAGUAAUCGUAGAUCAGAACGCUACGGUGAAUACGUUCCCGGGCCUUGUA